AGCGAACGCUGGCGGCAGGCCUAACACAUGCAAGUCGAACGAACCUUUCGGGGUUAGUGGCGGACGGGUGAGUAACACGUGGGAACGUGCCUUUAGGUUCGGAAUAACUCAGGGAAACUUGUGCUAAUACCGAAUGUGCCCUUCGGGGGAAAGAUUAAUCGCCUUUAGAGCGGCCGCGUCUGAUUAGCUAGUUGGUUGAGGUAAUGGCUCACCAAGGCGACGAUCAGUAGCUGGUCUGAGAGGAUGAUCAGCCACAUUGGGACUGAGACACGGCCCAAACUCCUACGGGAGGCAGCAGUGGGGAAUCUUGCGCAAUGGGCGAAAGCCUGACGCAGCCAUGCCGCGUGAAUGAUGAAGGUCUUAGGAUUGUAAAAUUCUUUCACCGGGGACGAUAAUGACGGUACCCGGAGAAGAAGCCCCGGCUAACUUCGUG
This 433-nucleotide ribosomal RNA is filed under the name uncultured bacterium. RNAcentral's name for it is "partial 16S ribosomal RNA". It matches the Rfam family "Bacterial small subunit ribosomal RNA", at positions 29 to 507 of the family's 1533-position model. The record is from RNAcentral.